RNAcentral lists this ribosomal RNA (253 nucleotides) under uncultured bacterium. RNAcentral's name for it is "partial 16S ribosomal RNA". It matches the Rfam family "Bacterial small subunit ribosomal RNA", at positions 524 to 776 of the family's 1533-position model. The record is from RNAcentral.
UACGGAGGGGGCUAGCGUUGUUCGGAAUUACUGGGCGUAAAGCGCACGUAGGCGGCUUUGUAAGUUAGAGGUGAAAGCCCAGGGCUCAACCCUGGAAUUGCCUUUAAGACUGCAUCGCUUGAACAUCGGAGAGGUAAGUGGAAUUCCGAGUGUAGAGGUGAAAUUCGUAGAUAUUCGGAAGAACACCAGUGGCGAAGGCGGCUCACUGGCCCGAUACUGACGCUGAGGCACGAAAGCGUGGGGAGCAAACAGG